Molecule: RNA transcript, 4457 nt
Organism: Plodia interpunctella (Indianmeal moth)
Lineage: Eukaryota; Metazoa; Arthropoda; Insecta; Lepidoptera; Pyralidae
Gene: Ns4
Gene name: Nucleostemin 4
Exons: 14
Source: RefSeq, a predicted model, not a curated record
AAAAAAAACAUUGCAGCACAGGCAGACAGCUGCUUUGCCGUUGUAUGUAUUUAGUUUACCGUUUUAUUUAUUCAUCCGUCCAUGGUGAUUCUUGAAUUUUCUCGAAAGUUUAAUUAGUGUAAUAAAGCAGCUUUCGAGGUCAAAAUGCCGCAAGACCGAAGGAAGGUUCCGUUUAGCGGGAAAGCGAAGAAGCAGCAGAUACAAGCGAAGAAGAACAGACAAAAUAAAACUCUACUGUUAUCAACUUCAUCGGGCUCGAGCACCUACGAUGUGGUAUCGGUCAAUUACCAGCCAAAGAACCGCGGCGGGCGCGGCGACUCCAAUAGAUACACCCUAAAGUUCUACAGGGAGACCGAUGCGGAGAUGACAUUGAAGAAGGAAGAGGCAUUGAAAUCUCUUAACUCGGUCUCUGAGAAGGACAUGGAAGUGGACCCGGCUGAAUUCUUCCCCGACGAGUUGACGUUCCCCAAGCGACCUCCGUGGGACUUCAACAUGACUCCGGCUCAACUCGAUAGCCAGGAACAGCGGUAUUUUAAGCACUACAUAGACAAACUGCAAGCGUCGGACCACUGGAAGGACGUGUCCUAUUUCGAGUUGAACCUGGAGACGUGGCGACAGCUGUGGAGGGUGCUGGAGAUGUGUGAUGUACUUCUGCUCAUCGUCGACGUUAGAUACGCUGGCAUGAUGUUCCCGCCAUCCCUGUACGAGUAUGUGGUGAAAGAACAAAAGAAGGACAUGAUACUGGUGCUGAACAAGAUAGACCUGGUCCCAGCGGCGGCGGUGUGCGCGUGGCGGCAGCACUUCACCCGCAGCUGCCCCGCGCUGCGCGUGCUGUGCUUCACCUCGUGCCCCGGGUACAACCUGCGGGGGGCCACCAACGACAAAGCGGGUCUCCAAGUGCGCCGGCGCAGGGGUCGCCAACAGAUGUGUACAGAGGGCGCCACUAAACUACUGGAAGCCUGCAAACAGAUCGUUGGGACUCACGUCGACCUCAGCUCAUGGGAGAAGAAGAUUCGAGAGGAGUCUUCUUUGGAGAGAGACGAAGACGAGAGAACUGAGAUCGGCGAAAUGAUUCAAGAGAAAGCGGACACGACAUAUUACAAACAUGAGAAAUAUAAAAAUGGCGUUCUGACAUUAGGCUGUGUGGGUCAACCUAACGUGGGGAAGUCUUCUCUGAUGAACGCCAUCAUGGGAAAGAAGGUGGUGUCGGUGUCCCGAACCCCAGGACACACGAAACACUUCCAGACUAUAUUUUUGACGCCUCAGGUCCGUCUAUGUGACUGUCCAGGUUUGGUGUUCCCUUCCACCGUCCCGCGUCCCAUACAAAUAUUGAUGGGGUCCUACCCCAUAGCUCAGCUUAGGGAACCAUACACAACUAUCAGAUACCUUGCUGAAAGGCUGGAUUUACCGAAGCUCCUGCGCAUCGAUCAUCCGGAGAAUGACGACAGCUGGUCUCCACGAGACAUCUGCGACGGCUGGGCCAAGAAAAGGGGUUACCUCACCGCUAAAGCUGCCAGAUUAGACACAUAUCGAGCGGCGAACAGUAUAUUAAGAAUGGCUUUGGACGGCAAAAUAUGCCUUUGGCUCAGACCUCCGGGGUUCACAGAGGAGAGGGAAACAUUUGAAAACCACGAAGAUCUGAAAUACAUACGAUGGGUGCAAGCGUUGACGAACGAAGAAACCAGUUCGAUUACCUCGGACAGUGAUGACGAGAGAAGGUCCAGUGAAAGUGACUCGGAGGACAGCGACGAUGGCGAGGAAGCCACUAUAGCUAUGGCGAACAAGUUCAAGGCGCUCGCUAAUGAGGAUUAGGCUAUCUUUAUUACUAUCAUUAUAAACAGGUAUCAAUAAAAGAAGAUUGUGAGAGAUUGCCUGAACUAAGCAGAGCCUGUAUCUCAGCACACCAGCCUCUCCCCGCCUGGAGUAAGACUAAAGUACAAUACACUAAAGAGAGUAUUGAGAAAGGAGAUCUUAUAUAAUAUAUAUUGCGGAGCUUGUACGAUGCAGUCCCUGCUCGAGAACGACUUGCCGCAUUCUCUGCACUCGUGCAACGCCCCCGCCUCCUUCUCCCUGUGGUUGCGCGUGUGCCGCGCGAGGUUGCGCUUCCACUGGAAUAACUUGCCACAGAUCUGACAUGGGUAUGUCAAGCCUUCGUGGAUCGCGCUGAGUUUAAAGAAAUCAAUCUUGAAUGGUCGUAAAGGGCUAACUAAUAGGCUAAUACUAGGCUAAUAUUAUAAAUGCGAAAGUAAGUUUGUUACCUCUCCACGCUCUAUCCACUCGACCAAUCUUCUUGAAAUUUUGCAUACAUGUAGUUUGAAGUACGGAGAAGGACAUAGGGUCGCGGAAAACUUCAGUUAUCGUAGAAAAUUCACGUGGGCGGAGCCGCGGGAAAAAGCUAGUUUUCAUGUAAAAAUAUACGUAUUAUAUAUGUAUUUUUUUAUCAGCACUCGAUCGUAAUCAUUUUUAUAUAUUUAUUGUAAUACUGUAAAGAAAAAAAAAAAACGACUAUAAACGGUAAGCCUUUAUGGCACGAAAAUAUAGUUUUUUGUUAAAGACGUAUGAUUCCCGCCUUACAUACCCUCUAUAAACGUGUUGCACUCCGCGAGUGCCCAGAAGUGUGAAAACUUGAAUAUUAACUUUGUGGAUUUUUGACGUCUGACGAAUUUUCGAUCAGAGUACUUAGUGCGUGUUAGCAUGUCACUUCUCACCAUCGAGUCGAUUCGAAGUGAGACGCAGCGAGCCAAUCACAUUGCAGUGUGGUUGUCGUUGCGUCACAAUGGAGCAUUGUGAUUGGUUCGCUGCGUCUCGAGCGCGAGAAGUGUAAUGCUAACCCGCACUUCGCCCACAGGUCACGUGUCCUGACGCGAGUUUAACAUUUUUUACCCAUCACAAAAAGUGCACGACGCCGCUAAACAAGUUUUCACUUAAAAACAUUGAUAGAUGGUGGGUAACCACGGCAUACACAGACGCAGACGUCAGGCAGGCGGCCGGUCGUAAAAUCAGAGAAAAAUUUCUAAACGGUCUACGCUUCACGGCGUGAAGAACCUCGGUGGCGCAGUGGUAAAGUGCUUGCCUCUGAACCGGGUUCGAUCCCCGGUCGGGUCAUGAUGGAAAAUGAUCUUUUUCUAAUUGGCCCGGGUCUUGGAUGUUUAUCUAUAUAUUUAUUUGUUAUAAAAUAUAGUAUCGUUGAGUUAGUAUCCCAUAACACAAGUCUCGAACUUACUUUGGGGCUAGCUCAAUCUGUGUGAUUUGUCCGUAUAUAUUUAUUUAUUGAAGAAGAAUGAGAAGAGUAGAUAUAUGACUUACGAAUGCGCUUUGUAACUCUUCUUAGAAGGGAACACUUUAUCGCAUCCUUUGCACGGAAUAUAUAGCUUUUCCUUCGGUUUCUCUUCUUUAUUGCUGGCAAUCAAUUUGUUCGCUCUGUUGAUUAAAAUAAUUAAUUAAUUAAUAUUAAUAACAUUUAUAUUGGCAUAAUUUUGUCUACGUGCUCAGUCGAUGCUACUGAACAACUUUUCGUAUGGAAGCAACAUUGAAAUCGCGAAAAAAUAAUCAGCUGAUCCAUACAUUUUCCACAAGUUAGGUAUUUAAUAUUGUAUGGAACAGCUGAUAUUUUUUUCGCGAUUUCAAAGUUACUCCCAUACUAAAAGUUGUUCAGAAUCAUGGACUGAGCGUGUAGACAAAAUAUUGCCAAUGUAUAAAAAGUCACCCCUGUGUAUUGGUGCAAUAAAUUUAACAAAUCAACACAUUUUAUAUUUUACUAGCGACACGCACCGGCUUCGCUCGGUUGCAAUAUUAUGCAUGUUAUCAUUAUUACCGUUGCCUAGUUUCAAAGAUCUAAGCAUACAUCAGAACAGAUGAUCCUAAUAUUAUAAAUGCGAAAGUAAGUUCGUUUCUUUGUUACCUCAUCAAAUUUUGCAUACAUGUAGUUUAGGGUACCUUUCAUUCAGGAAAAUUAACGCAAGCCGCGGGCAAGAGCUAGUGGGUAAUAAAUAAAAUCUUGUGAAGACUGAUUUCAGUCACUCCACUCAGAUAACUCACUUGAGAUGAUAUUUCAGCGUCAUUUUAUUGGCGAAAACUUUACCGCAACAAUCGCACUGCGGCCGUUCCCGACUGCACACAGACUUGUGGUAGUUCAAACGAGAUCUAGAACUGAACAAGUGCAUUUGUUAGACAGAUUAAAAAAAUCACCGACUUUCAAUAUUCAUUUCGCCACAACUUUUGAACGGCUGAACCGAUUUCGAUCAAACAUUAUCUAUCUAUUAGAAACACCGCAUAAAAAUUAGCUAUCAAAUAAAAAAAGUUGAUGAUCAAAAGCUACGACGCAACGUACACAGACAGACAGACAGACACACUUAGCGGUCAAACUAAUAACACCCCUCUUUGCGUCGGGGGUUAAAAAAUAAAUAUAUCAGGUCAAAUCACACAGAUUGAGCUAGCCCCAAAGUAAAUUCACUCAA